CCUACGGGAGGCAGCAGCAAGGAAUAUUGUGCAAUGGGCGAAAGCCUGACACAGCGACGCCGCGUGGGGGAUGAAUGCUUUCGGGUUGUAAACCCCUUUUCUCAGGGAAGAACAAUGACGGUACCUGAGGAAUAAGUCUCGGCUAACUACGUGCCAGCAGCCGCGGUAAUACGUAGGAGGCGAGCGUUAUCCGGAUUUACUGGGCGUAAAGCGGGCGUAGGCGGUCCUUCAAGUCGGAUGUAAAAUCUCCCGGCUCAACUGGGAGGGACCAUUCGAUACUGCUAGGCUAGAGUGCAGCAGAGGGAGGUAGAAUUCCCGGUGUAGUGGUGAAAUGCGUAGAUAUCGGGAGGAAUACCAGUGGCGAAGGCGGCCUCCAAGGCUGUAACUGACGCUGAGGCCCGAAAGCGUGGGUAGCGAACAGGAUUAGAUACCCCGGUAGUCC
Molecule: ribosomal RNA, 442 nt
Filed under: uncultured bacterium
Lineage: Bacteria
Description: bacterial SSU rRNA
Rfam family: Bacterial small subunit ribosomal RNA
Source: RNAcentral